Molecule: non-coding RNA, 31 nt
Filed under: Mus musculus (house mouse)
Lineage: Eukaryota; Metazoa; Chordata; Mammalia; Rodentia; Muridae
Source: RNAcentral
UGCAACAUGUAAGCUGACUAAGAAAUACGGU